Molecule: long non-coding RNA, 452 nt
Organism: Suricata suricatta (meerkat)
Lineage: Eukaryota; Metazoa; Chordata; Mammalia; Carnivora; Herpestidae
Exons: 2
Source: RefSeq, a predicted model, not a curated record
UCUGUCUCAAAAAUAAAUAAAACAUUAAAACAACUUUUAAAAAAAAGAAAGAAAAAUUGUUCUGGAUGCUGAAUGUCCAGCUGUACUUAGAGCAGACCGACUAGGGAAUAAUAACCUGUGAUUUAAAGAUCAGAGUGUGACUGUGACAAAAUUAUGAUAUAAAGUAAGAUUGCUCUAGGUUUUCCAAGGCACACUAUACCUGACUCAUUAAUACAUGGUUAUACCACAGAUGACAUAGACACCGACAUGGUAAUGAACAGAAAACACCCACCUUUGCAAGAAAUAGUGAAGGAAGAAUAGCUGCUAACUGAACUUAGUUCCAAGGGGUAAAUUCUAGGCCCCAGCUGUGGCAGUUUCUCAUGUUUGAUCUUCUGGCUUCUUUCUCCUGUGUGUUUCACUUACUCUCCUUUCAAGGUUUUAAAAUUAAAUUAAAUUAAAUUAUUUAAUUAUUA